This 464-nucleotide ribosomal RNA is filed under the name Escherichia coli. RNAcentral's name for it is "bacterial LSU rRNA". It matches the Rfam family "Bacterial large subunit ribosomal RNA", at positions 1 to 495 of the family's 2925-position model. The record is from RNAcentral. Lineage: Bacteria; Pseudomonadati; Pseudomonadota; Gammaproteobacteria; Enterobacterales; Enterobacteriaceae.
GGGUUGUGAGGUUAAGCGACUAAGCGUACACGGUGGAUGCCCUGGCAGUCAGAGGCGAUGAAGGACGUGCUAAUCUGCGAUAAGCGUCGGUAAGGUGAUAUGAACCGUUAUAACCGGCGAUUUCCGAAUGGGGAAACCCAGUGUGAUUCGUCACACUAUCAUUAACUGAAUCCAUAGGUUAAUGAGGCGAACCGGGGGAACUGAAACAUCUAAGUACCCCGAGGAAAAGAAAUCAACCGAGAUUCCCCCAGUAGCGGCGAGCGAACGGGGAGCAGCCCAGAGCCUGAAUCAGUGUGUGUGUUAGUGGAAGCGUCUGGAAAGGCGUGCGAUACAGGGUGACAGCCCCGUACACAAAAAUGCACAUACUGUGAGCUCGAUGAGUAGGGCGGGACACGUGGUAUCCUGUCUGAAUAUGGGGGGACCAUCCUCCAAGGCUAAAUACUCCUGACUGACCGAUAGUGAAC